AACAGAUGGACUCUCAUUGUCUCUCGCUCUCACCUAAGGGUUCUAGACAAUCUUUCCGGUCAUUCGGAUCAGCGGUUGAGAUUUACCGUCAAUAUGCUCGAGAAACCCAUCUGGGCCUUCCAAUCAGCAUCUCCAGUCCAUCAGUCACCGAUUUCAUCCGAGAGAUAAGCAGUCCUUCGGUCACCGACUUCGCCCUAGACUUCGGUCAAGAUCAGGAAGUGGGGCCCACUGCUGAACCAACGGCAUCCGAGAAGCAAAAUGUCCCACAACCAUGGGCUAAAGUAAUCGUCGUGAUGGCCUUCACAUCCGUAGUGGGCCUUCUGAGUGUCAGUUACACAAUCAACGGUAAUGGCAACCUUACCCCAGCCACCCUAUUUAGUGGACGGCCUGUAUCGUUCGGAUUCUUUCUCUUGGUAGUCAUGGUCACAUUCUAUAUCUCCAUCAUAGCAAUGAUCAUCCGGCCAGUCUUGCCAUUGAUAGCCAAAGUCCUUAACACAAUGGCCUUUGUUUGUGUGGUUUUAGGGGUCACGGUCCUGUUGUGGGCCAUGCUUCCUAAAAGCAUAAGCUGGGUCCCAUGGAUUUUUUUUGCGGUCACGAUCUUGAUUGCUUUUGGAGUGAUAGUUUAUGAGUGGUUCGUUUAUGAAAAGAAGGUUAAAGAGAAAGGGACUACAAUAAGGCCCACUACAUAAGAUGGGCCCACUAUGUAUAUA
Long non-coding RNA from Magnolia sinica, 710 nucleotides. RefSeq lists it as uncharacterized. The transcript has 2 exons. The record is from RefSeq and is a predicted model, not a curated record. NCBI's taxonomy places the organism in Eukaryota, Viridiplantae, Streptophyta, Magnoliopsida, Magnoliales, Magnoliaceae.